RNAcentral lists this ribosomal RNA (1483 nucleotides) under uncultured Bordetella sp. RNAcentral's name for it is "partial 16S-23S ribosomal RNA intergenic spacer". It matches the Rfam family "Bacterial small subunit ribosomal RNA". The record is from RNAcentral. Lineage: Bacteria; Pseudomonadati; Pseudomonadota; Betaproteobacteria; Burkholderiales; Alcaligenaceae.
GUUCAGUCAUGAAGCUCAGGGAUGGACGCUGUGGAUAACUUUACCGCAUGCAAGUCGAACGGCAGCACGGACUUCGCGAUCACAGUUUGCUGCGGUGGCGGGCAGGAACGAUAAUGUCGGACGCUGAUGGCAGGGGGAUAACUCACGCGAAAGCGUAACAAUACCGCCUGUACGCCCUUCGGGGAAAGCGGGGGACCUUCGGGCCUCGCACUAAUGAAGCAGCCGAUAUCGGAUUAGCUGGUUGGUGGGGUAACGGCUCGCAAGGCGACGAUCCGUAGCUGGUUUGAGAGGACGACCAGCCACACUGGGACUGAGACACGGCCCAGACUCCUACGGGAGGCAGCAGUGAAAUUUUGGACAAUGCGGGGAAACCUGAUCCAGCCAUCCCGCGUGUGCGUGAAGGCCUUCGGGUUGUAAAGCACUGGCGGGAAGAGCUGUUUUGCGGGAUAUUCUCUUUGCAUUUUGGCGACGUGCCCCUGCGAUGCUUUGGCUUUAUACGUGCCAGCAGCCGCGGUAAUACGUAAGUGCAAGCGUUAAUCGGAAUUACUGGGCGUAAAACGUGCGCAGGCGGUUCCGGAAAGAAGAUGUGAAAUCCCAGAGCUUAACUUUGGAACUGCAUUUUAACUACGCAAAAAUGGGGUGUGCCAGGAGUGCGAAUUCAGCGUAUUGGCGGUGAAAUGCGUAGAUAUGCGGAGGAACACCGAUAGCGAGCAGCCUCCUGGGAUAACACUGACGCUCAUGCAUGCACGAAAAGCGUGGGAGCAAACGGAUCCGAUACCCUGGUAGUCACCGCCUAAACGAUGUCAACUAGCUGUUGGGGCCUUCGGGCCUUGGUAGCGCAACUAACGCGUGAAGUUGACCGCCUGGGGAGUACAGGUCGCAAGAUUAAAACUCAAAAUUGACGGGGACCCGAAGCGGUGGAUGAUGUGGUUAAUUCGAUGCAACGCGAAAAACCACCCUUAGCAUGUCUGGAAUCCAGAAGAGAUUUGGGAGUGCUCGCAAAGAGAACCGGAACACAGGUGCUGCAUGGCUGUCGUCAGCUCGUGUCGUGAGAUGUUGGAGUUAAGUCCCGCAACGAGCGCAACCCCUUGUCAUUAGUUGCCACGAGGGCACUCCAGCAGUUUUGCGGAACGACCCAAGCUGGAGGAGGGUGGGAUGACGUCGAGUCCUCCAUGACACCGGAAUUUGGGCUGCGCAUCGCCACGGCCGGUCAGGACAGAGGGUCGCCAACCGCGAGGGGAGCCAGUCCCGAAGCUACAGUCGUGGUCUCGGGAUCGUUCACUGGCUCGACUGCGUGAAGUCGGGAAUCGCUAAGUAAUCGCGGAUCAGCAUGUCGCGGUAGAAUACGUUCCGGGUCUUGUACACACCGCCCGUCACACCAUGGGAAUUGGGUUUUACCAGAAGUAGUUAGCCUAACCGUAAGGAGAGGGCGAUUACCGCAGUAGGAUUCAUGACUGGGGUGAAGUCGUAACAAAGAUGACUU